GAGCUCAUGCAGGAUCUGCUGCGGCAGUGGGGGAACACUGCUGAGCUGUGCAGUUUAUGCUGCCAGUGAGAGUGCAAAGAAGAGGAGGGGGAAACAAGCGUGUACCGGAGGAGGAGGAGAAGGAGGAGGAGUGAGGGAGAGAGAGAGAGAGUGCAAACAAUGUCAUUCUGUUCAGGAGGCAAUGCUGCAGUCAACUUUGCCGCGCCAUGAAAGCACAUCACCACUGACCGAGAGGGGCUCACAGUGAGUGAAGAGAAGUUUCCAUCCUCUCGUCCUCCUGCUCGAUGCCAGACUCCUCUGCUCAUGCGCCCGGUUCAGCUGUCGGUGGGACGUUGGAACAUGCCUUGACUUGUCGCGCUGGCUGAGAGAAACACACAGAGAGAGGAGAGUCUCAGACCAGAGGCUGGUGGUCGUUCACCGUGAUGUUCAGACGGCCGCAGACUUCAGCGCUGGAGGUGAGACUGGAUGAAGGAACUUAGCUGGUUGUCCAGCAGUUUCCGAAGCAUCCCACCGAAAAAAGUCUUGGAAGCAGAAGAAAGAUGUACACGGUACCAGACUCACAGGGUCAAAACCUGCCCCAAAGAGCAGCCAGGAUCCGGCUGAGAAGAAGCAGGUGGACGCGGCUGCUGUGGGUGUUUCUCUGGCAGUGUCUUAGCUGGUUGUUGUGAGGAGUGAGAACGAAGCAAUCAGCAAGUAUACUGCCGCAGAAAUUCUUCGCAAUGAGAAGCCCUGGGAUCACAGCCAUCGAGGGUGGAAAAAGGAAAGAGAAAUUUACACUGCAGAGAACACCUGACAACGCUUACAGCUGGAUCAGACUCUGAGCUGAAGUUUCAUGAUCUUCUGCUGCCAUCUUGUGACUGAACACAUCCGCCCAGCAUGCCGUGGCUCAUCAAACACUGCACCAGUUUAGAUAUAUCUUUUUUUCUUUUAUUUAUUUAUUGUUUGUUUAGUUUUAACUGAGUAAAGAAAUUUAGCUCAAAUGGCACAGCUUAAAUUUAUUUAUUUUGUUUUGCUUUUUUAAAUUUAUUUUAGUUGCAAAUGCAUGUUUAGCUGUCACCAAGUAAAGUUUGCAUCAGAAGCUCUUUUUUCUGGAUGGCAACAAAUUAAGUUAUUUUUUCUUUUUUUUCUGCCACUGCUUCUUAAUUAACUAAUGUCAAAUAGAAUUAUUGUAAAAAAGGAGGAAUAAAAUGUACACAAACAGAAA
Austrofundulus limnaeus is the source of this 1204-nucleotide long non-coding RNA. RefSeq lists it as uncharacterized. Lineage: Eukaryota; Metazoa; Chordata; Actinopteri; Cyprinodontiformes; Rivulidae. The record is from RefSeq and is a predicted model, not a curated record. The transcript has 3 exons.